Molecule: ribosomal RNA, 975 nt
Filed under: Triticum aestivum (bread wheat)
Lineage: Eukaryota; Viridiplantae; Streptophyta; Magnoliopsida; Poales; Poaceae
Description: partial small subunit ribosomal RNA
Source: RNAcentral
AUGAGCCACGAUGCAAUGCAACCACCCAAAACACACAUAUUGCAUUCGAAGAAUGUUGGUGCUGCCAAGGGAAGAAAUGACAUUGCCCAUUGUUUUUUUUUAGAUACCUUAAUUUUUUCUUGGUGGUGGAGUGAUCGCGGGUCUGCUUUCGGAUCUGGAUGCAGUUGGGUUAGCGACCUCAGGGCGCAGGUCAACACGAUGGUGCUGAGCACGGGUGGGAAUGGCGAGAUGCGCUGCGGCCUGCGGCCCGGCAAUGAGCAGUCUGCUCUCUCUCUCUCUCUCUCUCUCUCUCUCUCUCUCUCUCGGAUCGGAUGCAGCAGCAACAUUUGGCCGACCACCUCGUCUGCGUUCGGCCUCAACGGCGAGCUCAAGGCUGGCCACCUUGCGAUGUCGGCAGAACACGCGCCAUCGACGAGCAGAAGCUGGGCGUCCAUGAGCGACCGACCCACAGGCGGUUGUGGAAAAGCGCAGACAGCACAUGCACAUGCGACGCGAGGUGGUCGUGGGUCCGGCUCCAGAUCGAGGCGUCCGCCCCUCCCGCCUCCGACGAGGCGACGACGAACCGGGAGCAGCUCUUCGCCACCGCCUAGGCCUCGCACGCAACUCCAGCCUGCGCGUGGGAGCUUCAGGAACUCGGGUUAUGUGUGUCGUCGGCGCGAGCCCGGAUGCCAUGGGCGGAGGCCCCCAGCAGCAAGUCCCCGUCUACAUCCACCCUGCCCUGCCGUCUUCAUUGACCGCACCACGGCGUCUCGCGAGUCAGACACUAAGCCAGUGGUGGCGCGGACAUGGCGUUGGCAACCUCCAACAACAGGAUGCCCGGCUGCCCGCCCUUCGCGCCCGAGUGCAGAGUCGCCAUGGAGAGGACCUUGUGCAGCAGCGGUUCGAGCUCGGCGCGGCAACGAUGGUCAUGGCUCUGCUGCGGCGGCGGCGGCGGCGGCGCGCUCUUGGCCACCAACGAGGGGUGGCCACCCUUGA